AGGGACUUAGGUUAACACCAGACCAAGGGCCUUCAAAGCCCUAAGCGAGAGUGAAAAUCUCCCAGUUCCUG
Molecule: transfer RNA, 71 nt
Filed under: Caranx latus (horse-eye jack)
Lineage: Eukaryota; Metazoa; Chordata; Actinopteri; Carangiformes; Carangidae
Also listed under: 4 other names
Description: tRNA-Trp
Rfam family: tRNA
About the family: Transfer RNA (tRNA) molecules are approximately 80 nucleotides in length. Their secondary structure includes four short double-helical elements and three loops (D, anti-codon, and T loops).
Source: RNAcentral